This is a long non-coding RNA of Cyprinus carpio carpio, 1813 nucleotides long. The record is from Ensembl. NCBI's taxonomy places the organism in Eukaryota, Metazoa, Chordata, Actinopteri, Cypriniformes, Cyprinidae.
AGUGUCACGGAGUGACUUCGUAAGGGCGGAACUAAAAAAUGACGGAGAUUGGUUCCACCCGGACCAUAAUUCUCAAACACCGGGAACUCCGGGAAGGGAAAUCAGGGUUUUAUUGAUCGCAGGUGGAUAGAUGAACGGGGCGAUCGUGGAUUGGGCAGUAUGAAGAGAAGGAGGAGUAUAAAGAGGGCCUCAGAAACUGCAGAGGGGGGGAAAAAGUUCUUUGUUUUAUUUCAGCCGAUACGGCGAGAGAGUUGGAGUGUUUGGGCGAGUACCGUGGAAAGAAGGCAGAGGAUAUUGUUGGCUGGGCAAAGACGGAGACAAGGGUUUGGCAGAAACAGACACCGGGCUGAGUAUAUUGGAAUGUCUACUUAACUGUGAAAUGCUCCAUGGACAUGUGUAACAAAUUCUGAGUGGUUGAAAACAGGAAGACUCACCGGAAGUAUCGCCGAAGGAGGCCUUUUCGACAGGGCACGUGGCAGCAGGAGAAGUACCCAGGAGCUGGAAAGAAGAGGGAAAAGAGACCUCGUGUAGUAACGGUGUGAGUACCCUAAACCAUCGUACAGCAGUAUAAUCAUCUAGAGUGAACCAUCUGUGAGCGUUUUGUGAGUUUGUGGCAUAGUAUGUGAGCGGCCCCACUGUGGAGGAGGAUUGUGGGUGAGCCGGGACCAGUGAGCGAGAGAGGAUGUUGGGCUGUUGUGGCGGCAACGUUUAAAUCUGAAUAUUCGUGGCAUCAGUGUCUUCACGACUUCCAGGAAGAGUCUUUGGUCAGACGGGGUGUUGACCCUAAAUUCACCAGAGUGUGUGGAGUGCAGUGGGUGAGUCUUUGUCCUUUGCUGUGAGUGUAUACACUUGAAAAUUGCAGUGUUGUGCUGUGUUGUGUCGUCAACAACCACCUUUCAGGCCCGACGAAAUCCUGUGAAGGAAGUGAAUACCGAGGCUCGAAGAAAACAUCUCCAAUUAUAUGCCGUCGAUGACAUCCUGACCCUUCUUCCCCACGUGACGGUGGUGGGAAACAAUUUCAAGUAAGAACAGUGUGGAUCUACUGGGAAGUAUUAAUGGUGAGGAGUUGGCUGCUGUAGGAGGAAAUCAGCUGUGCGUGUAUUAUUACCUGCUGUGGAGUUCUUCAAAGGUUCGCCCCUGUCUAGAUCUCUUGACUUGUCGGUUGGUAGAAGCCUCAGAAAAGGAACGUCUGACGUCUAUUCCCUCGAAGAUCUAGCGGGUCCCUUUGAAGCGUCUACCUGCAUGUCGACUCGUCACUCAGGAUACAGAGACCGCGGAAACCCCCUCCCGUACACUUACCAGUACGGUUUUAGUUGGAACCCGGUAGCCCUUGUGCAGUUCCCCCAGCAGCUGGACGACCGGGAGUACAACCCGCUGGGCCGCCUCGGAGUUCGUCAAAGGUAGCAGCAGGUAUCCAUUGUGCAUCCAAACUCUCAAUACUUACCACUUGUAUCUGUUACGUCCAGGAAAGGAGAGGGCCCUGGACAGUCGUCCUGCAAGUCAGAACAAAGGGGCACUUGUGAAUAAGCUGAUUGUCGUCACAUAGCCAGAAGGAAAGAGGAGUGAAGGACUCACCUGAGAUCUCCCGUGACGGAGUCUAAGAGACUCGAGAUUGUUACUCUCCAAAAGGAGGGUUGGAUUUUAGCCUCCCUUCCCCAUACCCUUUUUUUUUAUAAUUUAAUAAAGUCUGUUUUAAAAUUUACUUACCGGCUCUCGUGUGUCUGGUCAUUGGGGUAUUCUUGGGACCUCCUCGAGGUGGAAAUUAGGAAGGGGCGUGACUCACAACAUCUGUGGUCAGCUCCGACCUGUGACA